This 497-nucleotide ribosomal RNA is filed under the name uncultured bacterium. RNAcentral's name for it is "partial 16S ribosomal RNA". It matches the Rfam family "Bacterial small subunit ribosomal RNA", at positions 28 to 507 of the family's 1533-position model. The record is from RNAcentral.
GAUGAACGCUGGCGGCGUGCCUAAUACAUGCAAGUCGAGCGAACAGAUGAGGAGCUUGCUCCUCUGACGUUAGCGGCGGACGGGUGAGUAACACGUGGAUAACCUACCUAUAAGACUGGGAUAACUUCGGGAAACCGGAGCUAAUACCGGAUAAUAUAUUGAACCGCAUGGUUCAAUAGUGAAAGACGGUUUUGCUGUCACUUAUAGAUGGAUCCGCGCCGCAUUAGCUAGUUGGUAAGGUAAUGGCUUACCAAGGCAACGAUGCGUAGCCGACCUGAGAGGGUGAUCGGCCACACUGGAACUGAGACACGGUCCAGACUCCUACGGGAGGCAGCAGUAGGGAAUCUUCCGCAAUGGGCGAAAGCCUGACGGAGCAACGCCGCGUGAGUGAUGAAGGUCUUCGGAUCGUAAAACUCUGUUAUUAGGGAAGAACAAAUGUGGAAGUAACUAUGCACGUCUUGACGGUACCUAAUCAGAAAGCCACGGCUAACUACGUG